CCUACGGGAGGCAGCAGUGGGGAAUAUUGGGCAAUGGGCGCAAGCCUGACCCAGCAACGCCGCGUGAGGGAAGAAGGCUUUCGGGUUGUAAACUUCUUUUCGCAGGGACGAAGAAAGUGACGGUACCUGAGGAAUAAGCCACGGCUAACUACGUGCCAGCAGCCGCGGUAAUACGUAGGUGGCAAGCGUUAUCCGGAUUUAUUGGGUGUAAAGGGCGUGUAGGCGGGGGCGGAAGUCAGAUGUGAAAACUCAGGGCCCAACCCUGGGCCUGCAUUUGAAACUGUGUUUCUUGAGUGCUGGGGAGGCAAUCGGAAUUCCGUGGGUAGCGGUGAAAUGCG
RNAcentral lists this ribosomal RNA (338 nucleotides) under uncultured bacterium. RNAcentral describes it as "partial 16S ribosomal RNA". It matches the Rfam family "Bacterial small subunit ribosomal RNA", at positions 338 to 690 of the family's 1533-position model. The record is from RNAcentral.